RNAcentral lists this ribosomal RNA (678 nucleotides) under Triticum aestivum (bread wheat). Its description in RNAcentral is "partial small subunit ribosomal RNA". The record is from RNAcentral. Lineage: Eukaryota; Viridiplantae; Streptophyta; Magnoliopsida; Poales; Poaceae.
AUGGGUAAGGCAGAGUUGUUCCUUCGGCGAAUGGUUGAUAACAGUGUUCAACCGGAUAGGGUGACAUAUACUAGCAUGAUCCAUGGAUAUUCCACUUUGGGCCGGUGGAAAGAGGCGACGAAAAUGUUCAGAGAAAUGACAGGCAGGGGCCUUAUACCAAAUAUUGUCACUUGGAACUCGUUCAUGGCCUACCUUUGCAAGCAUGGAAAAAGCAAAGAAGCUACAGAAAUUUUCUUUUCCAUGGCUGCAAAGGGCAAUAAGCCUAAUAUCAUCACCUACGGUAUUCUUCUUCAUGGGUAUGGCAAUGAAGAAAGCUUUGUUGAUAUGAUGAGUCUCUUUAAUUCAAUGAAAGGCAACGGUAUUGUGGCCAACCGCCAGGUUUUCAACAUAUUAAUUGAUGCAUAUGCUAAACGAGGACUGAUAGAUGAAGCUGUUCUCAUACUUACUGAAAUGCGGGGACACGGACUGAGUCCGGAUGUAUUACCGAAAAAGGGUUUCCCCCCGCUUUGUAUACAAAGCAACCAACCGAACCAUACAGAGAUAGGUGCUGGGGCGGAAGCAGCACAGUCACGCCCAAAAGAAACGACAGAGAAAGAGCAAAAGAAACAAAUGCCGACAACGGCGGAUCAACAAAAACGAAGAAGCCUCGCGAUCGCUGCACCCACCGGGAUCUUCCAC